Molecule: ribosomal RNA, 252 nt
Filed under: uncultured bacterium
Lineage: Bacteria
Description: partial 16S ribosomal RNA
Rfam family: Bacterial small subunit ribosomal RNA
Source: RNAcentral
GACGAACCGUGCGAACGUUGUUCGGAAUCACUGGGCUUAAAGGGCGCGUAGGCGGGCUACCAAGUCUGUGGUGAAAUCCCCCGGCUCAACCGGGGACGGCCGUGGAUACUGGGAGCCUCGAGGGAGAUAGGGGCAGGCGGAACUGAUGGUGGAGCGGUGAAAUGCGUUGAUAUCAUCAGGAACUCCGGUGGCGAAGGCGGCCUGCUGGAUCUCAUCUGACGCUGAGGAGCGAAAGCCAGGGGAGCAAACGGG